CAUGUCCUACGGGGGGCAGCAGUGAGGAAUAUUGGUCAAUGGCCGGGAGGCUGAACCAGCCAAGUCGCGUGAGGGAAGACGGCCCUACGGGUUGUAAACCUCUUUUGUCAGGGAGCAAGGGGCGGGUCGAGACCUGCUGUGAGAGUACCUGAAGAAAAAGCAUCGGCUAACUCCGUGCCAGCAGCCGCGGUAAUACGGAGGAUGCGAGCGUUAUCCGGAUUUAUUGGGUUUAAAGGGUGCGCAGGCGGAGGCACAAGUCAGCGGUAAAAUCGCGGGGCUCAACCCCGCACCGCCGUUGAAACUGG
Molecule: ribosomal RNA, 305 nt
Filed under: uncultured bacterium
Lineage: Bacteria
Description: bacterial SSU rRNA
Rfam family: Bacterial small subunit ribosomal RNA
Source: RNAcentral